UGGGGAAUAUUGCACAAUGGGCGAAAGCCUGAUGCAGCAACGCCGCGUGCGGGAUGACGGCCUUCGGGUUGUAAACCGCUUUCAGCAGGGACGAAGGUUUUCUGACGGUACCUGCAGAAGAAGCACCGGCUAACUACGUGCCAGCAGCCGCGGUGAUACGUAGGGUGCGAGCGUUGUCCGGAAUUAUUGGGCGUAAAGAGCUUGUAGGCGGUCCGUUGCGUCGGAAGUGAAAACUCAGGGCUUAACCCUGAGCCUGCUUUCGAUACGGGCGGACUUGAGGGAUGUAGGGGAGAACGGAAUUCCUGGUGGAGCGGUGGAAUGCGCAGAUAUCAGGAGGAACACCAGUGGCGAAGGCGGUUCUCUGGACAUUUCCUGACGCUGAGAAGCGAAAGCGUGGGGAGCAAACAGGCUUAGAUACCCUGGUAGUCCACGCCGUAAACGGUGGGCACUAGGUGUGGGACCCAUUCCACGGGUUCCGUGCCGUAGCUAACGCAUUAAGUGCCCCGCCUGGGGAGUACGGCCGCAAGGCU
Molecule: ribosomal RNA, 530 nt
Filed under: uncultured bacterium
Lineage: Bacteria
Description: partial 16S ribosomal RNA
Rfam family: Bacterial small subunit ribosomal RNA
Source: RNAcentral